Molecule: unclassified non-coding RNA, 306 nt
Filed under: plant metagenome
Description: partial contains 5.8S ribosomal RNA, internal transcribed spacer 2, and large subunit ribosomal RNA
Rfam family: 5.8S ribosomal RNA (bases 1-104)
Source: RNAcentral
AAAUGCGAUAAGUAGUGUGAAUUGCAGAAUUUAGCGAAUCAUCGAAUCUUUGAACGCACAUUGCGCCCCUUGGUAUUCCAUGGGGCAUGCCUGUUCGAGCGUCAUUUCAACCCUCAAGCACUGCUUGGUGUUGGGCGUUUGUCCCGCCUACGCGCGUGGACUCGCCUCAAAGUCAUUGGCAGCUGUUCCCCUUCGGCUCGUAAGCGCAGCACAGUCGGCGCCCGGAGCUCUGGUGGGAUGGCGUCCAGCAAGCUAUAUUUUCAGUCUUGACCUCGGAUCAGGUAGGGAUACCCGCUGAACUUAAGC